Molecule: long non-coding RNA, 891 nt
Filed under: Equus caballus (horse)
Lineage: Eukaryota; Metazoa; Chordata; Mammalia; Perissodactyla; Equidae
Description: lncRNA (ENSECAG00000044130.1)
Source: RNAcentral
AACCCUAUCUACGCUGGUUUUUCCUAUACAUGCAUACGUAUGAUAAAGUUUAAUUUAUAAAUUAGGCACAGUAAGAGAUUAACAAUAACUAAUAAUAGAACAGUUAUAACAAUGUAUUGUAAUAAAACUUACUGUAGAUCUUAGCACCCUCAGCAUACAGAUUUCUUUGUUUUUUUAUUAAGUUGAGAACUUUCACCUUUUCCCUUAAAGGGAGCUUCUCUUUGGCAUACCCAAAUUGCCAGCAUCACUACUCUUGGGCUUUGGCACAUUAAUAAGUAAAAUAAGGGUUACUUGAAUACAACUACUGUGAUACCACAACAGUCGAUACAGCAUAUACAGCGAGGAUAUGCUGGACAAAGGGAUGAUUCGCAUCCUCGGCAACACGGAGUGGGACAGUGCAAGAUUUCAUCAUGCUGCACAGAAUGGCACAUAAUUUAAAACUUAGGAGUUAUUUAUUUCUGGAAUUUCCAUUUAAUAUCUUUGGACCUCAGUUGACCACAGGAAGAUGGAGUGGAUAUAUUUCUCUCUAUUCCUCCUACUAAGUACAACUAGUAACUCUGGACAUUACGUAUAAAAUAAACGUAAGAAGAUUCCAAAAGGUGGAGAAAAGAAGGCAUACCAGCUAGGGACCUCAGGACCUAAGGAGGAACACAGAGGGCAUGACACUGAGCAGAACUCUUCCAGUGUCCUUCGCAGCUGGAUAUGGCAAUGUGACUAAAUUUGGGCCAACAGGAUAUGAGCAGAGGUGAUCUGUGCCACCUCCAGGUCUUUCCUUAAAGUUGGACACCUUUACCCUGGACAUCUUCUUUCCCAUUUCCCCAGACGUGGAGGGAGCCAGUAUCGACCACAUGGAUGAAGACCACACCCAAGGAGAUGGUGAAAUGAUAAGAC